UACGUAGGUGGCAAGCGUUGUCCGGAAUUAUUGGGCGUAAAGCGCGCGCAGGCGGUUCCUUAAGUCUGAUGUGAAAGCCCACGGCUCAACCGUGGAGGGUCAUUGGAAACUGGGGAACUUGAGUGCAGAAGAGAAGAGUGGAAUUCCACGUGUAGCGGUGAAAUGCGUAGAGAUGUGGAGGAACACCAGUGGCGAAGGCGACUCUUUGGUCUGUAACUGACGCUGAGGCGCGAAAGCGUGGGGAGCAAACAGG
This 253-nucleotide ribosomal RNA is filed under the name uncultured bacterium. Its description in RNAcentral is "partial 16S ribosomal RNA". It matches the Rfam family "Bacterial small subunit ribosomal RNA", at positions 524 to 776 of the family's 1533-position model. The record is from RNAcentral.